AUGAAUCCAUUUGGGCAUGGUGAUUUUGGUGACGGAGGGAGAUCCCUGAUGCUAGCGUCGCCAUGGCUGAGAUGACAGGGAAGAAGGCCGACAACCUGGAUGCUUUCAAGUAGUCCAUCGAUCGGGGGGUCUAGAAUGUGAAGAACCUACAAGGUGGCUACCUCCUUGCUCAAGAGCGCAAAUUACACGCAGCCAGCAACCACUGAUCAACCAUCAACAAAUCGAUGUAUCUAUCAGCCAUUUUCUUAUGAAGAAGAUUUAGUCAGCUAUGUUCGGAGAUGAGGUUAAACUGGAAGUGAUUCUUUCUACUUGUCCAAAAAGAUAACUCCGUUGGAGUACAUAGUUGAGUUGCGCCAUGCACUAGGAUAUUAGUGUAGUUGACGAAGGUUUCAGCAAGAAAUUUGUCUUAAAUCAUCAUUAACAUGACAUGUGAUUGUAUCUUGCACUAAUUCCAGCUGCUAAGUUCUCUAAUUAGUAAAGAAAAUAUUCUAAGUGGCCGCUGGAAA
Triticum urartu is the source of this 506-nucleotide non-coding RNA. NCBI's taxonomy places the organism in Eukaryota, Viridiplantae, Streptophyta, Magnoliopsida, Poales, Poaceae. The record is from RefSeq and is a predicted model, not a curated record.